This 1705-nucleotide unclassified non-coding RNA is filed under the name uncultured fungus. RNAcentral describes it as "sequence contains 18S rRNA gene, ITS1, 5.8S rRNA gene, ITS2, 28S rRNA gene". The stretch from base 679 to 1705 matches the Rfam family "Eukaryotic large subunit ribosomal RNA", at positions 1 to 961 of the family's 3401-position model. The record is from RNAcentral. Lineage: Eukaryota; Fungi.
GGAAGGAUCAAUACGAGUAGUACCACCUUUGCCCAGCCACGUAGUGGGUGGGGGAAGAGUGGAAAGGUGGGUGGGGUGGAGCUGUGCGAGUGUAGUGUACAUUGUACAUUAGAUUAUGCACAGCACCGUCCUACCAUCUACCACAUAUGCACAGGGCGUCUGCUGGGUCAGUUAUCUUGACUGACUCACAGGGGCCCUGAUGUUUACGCUUGCAUGUUUGACAGAGUCUAGUAUCACUUAUAAAGACAACUUUUAACAAUGGAUCUCUUGGCUCUUGCAACGAUGAAGAACGCAGUAAAGUGCGAUAUGUAGUGCGAUUUGCAUGAAUCUGUGAGUCAUUUAAUCUUUGAACGCAACUUGCGCCUUUUUGGAGGCAUGUCUGUUUGAGGGCCAUAAAAGAUGUAUGUGGGUAUUGCAGUGUGGGGGGAUGGUGGUAUGUGUUGUGCAGUAUUGUACAAUACUUGCUUACUUACUACACUGUGCUGCCAUAUCGCAAGCGUAUUGACAGCAGUCAGUCAAUUGACUCUGUUUAAAGGUAGCCAGUGACCGCUCCAGCGUCCAGCCCUAGUGCUAAGCAUUCUUGGCAGGGCGGUGGAGCGAACAGCGUGGGGAUGGGUUGGGUGAGUGGGUGGACAUUGUCUACCACCUCACCUCGCCUCACCCCACACACACCCAAUUUGGCCUCAAAUCAGUCAAGACUACCCGCUGAACUUAAGCAUAUCAGUAAGCGGAGGAAAAGAAACUAACAAGGAUUCCCCUAGUAACGGCGAGUGAAGCGGGAAAAGCUCAAAUUUAAAAUCUCGGCACACGGUGUGUCGCGAAUUGUAGUCUAAAGAGAGGACGGUCUAGGUCAAAGAGGUGCUCAAGUCCCUUGAAAUAGGGCGCCAAAGAGGGUGAGAGCCCCGUGACAGCACCUCGUACACCUCAAGUGAUCACCUCUCGACGAGUCGAGUUGUUUGGGAAUGCAGCUCAAAGUGGGUGGUAAAUCUCAUCCAAGGCUAAAUAUUGGCAAGAGACCGAUAGCGAACAAGUACCGUGAGGGAAAGAUGAAAAGCACCUUGAAAAGGGAGUUAAACAGUGCGUGAAAUUGUUAAAAGGGAAACGAUAGAGACCAGAGUUGGAGGGAGCUUUAAGCCGGAGCGUCGGUGGCGGUCUAAGCCGGUGUCUCGGUUCCGGUAGCGAGAACCCUCCGAGUCAAUGCCAGUUGCAGCAGCCGGAUAGGGGGAGGGGGAAGGUGGUGUCGGCUCUCGGGUCGACGCAUUAUAGACUCUUUUCAUUUGCGGCAGCAGCGACCGGAAGGGUGGGUGGGGUGGCAGGAGACCACCAGAUUACUUGGUUGGUACUCGGCAGACACCCCAGACACGCGUCUUUGACAAAAUGGUCUUUAACGACCCGUCUUGAAACACGGACCAAGGAGUCUAACAAUCUUGCGAGCAUUAGAGUGGCAAACUCAUAUGCGUAAUAAAAGUAAAAGCGUGCGAUCCAAUCCAACAGGUUGUAGCAGCACGGACCGGCCCGUCAUCUCUGACAGGACCGAGUAAGAGUAGGAUUGUUGGGACCCGAAAGGCGGUGAACUAUGCCUGACUAGGGCAAAGCCAGAGGAAACUCUGGUGGAGGCUCGUAGCCGUUCUGACGUGCAAAUCGAUGGUAAAAGUUGGGUAUAGGGGCGAAAGACUAAUCGAACCGCCUAGUAGCUGGUUCCUUC